UUAUUAGGUUAUAAUAAGACUACGUUUGUUACAUUAAUUGUUUGUUAAAAAUGGGCAGACGAUGACUUGGCCAAAGACCUCAUCAUACGUCUUACAGUUCACAGGUGUUAGGAUGUGAUUUAAGCAAGGGCCUUGCCGAAGCGAAGACACCAAGCAUGUUUAAUUCACUAAUGAUCCUUCCGCAGGUUCGCCUACGGAAA
RNAcentral lists this unclassified non-coding RNA (200 nucleotides) under uncultured fungus. Its description in RNAcentral is "sequence contains ITS1, 5.8S rRNA gene". Lineage: Eukaryota; Fungi. The record is from RNAcentral.